CCCCUUCCCACCCCCCCCCCCCCCCCCCCCCCCCCCCUCCCGCCUCGAAUUAGUACUAUUAUUUAUUUAUUUAUUUUUCUUUCGGGGAGGUUCGGUUGGAGGGAAGUUUUGCGCCGCAGACGGGGCCGGGGCUGCUGCGGGCUGGAUGGGGAGGGCGGCACGUUGCGGGGGGGCGCGGGCAGUGCGGGACCCCGCCGGGGGUGGGGGGGGACCGGGCGGGGACCUGCCGCCGCUGCCGGCUCUUUGUCUGCUCGGGCAACUUGAACAAAAGGCGAAACUCGGAUGAACUCUCUCCAUCUCGCCCUCUCCUCGCCCGGGUUAUCUCAGCUGCGGCAACUUUAAGCCGGCGAGAUUGCCCCAACUUUCCCGCAGCUCCCUAACAGCGGGCAGCCCCCCUUUCAGGCUCCUCGGGCAGCACUUCGAGGACAGGCGAAGGUCAAAACAUGGUCGUCGGGAAAAUGGGAUGCUUGCCAAAAUUGUCGGUCUGUGCUAGGUGCCAUGCUGUGUUGUCCUUGGAAUGGUGGAAUACAACUUGGGUCUCCUCGGGGAUGGCUGACGUGGCACAAACUGUACCACGCAACUACCGAAUGCGUUCACCUUUUGGAUAUGUAUGUAAGUUAGUGGGCUACUGGAAGAAGAUGAAGAAUCUCUUGCAGAAAAGUGAGGAUAUUGUAGAAAAUGCUGCUGCAAACCAUUUGGAUUAUAUUGCCAUCCGACAUUGCGGUCCUGCAGCUAACAGAAGGCUUGAGCCACAGAACAGGGUGAGGAUUUACAGUUCUGGAGGAGAAGUAUGAAUGGGAUUGAAGGAUUUACAUGGAGGACUCUGAACUCCUUCCCUUCCUGAGUCAGGAAGGAUAGGUGAGUGAACUAUGGGAUAAUUUGUAAUUAACUUGGUUCUUACUUAAGAAGGUCUUUAGUCAAAACAGGAAGAUACAAUUCAGAUGAAUGUAUAUAAGAACAGAACAGACUUCAGAUACUGCAGACACACCCCUUAAUUAUAAACAACAGUAUUCAGAGUUUUAUGUUCCUGUUUAGUAAUAAGAGGGUUUCCAGAAAGGAUGGUGUGAGGUUGCUUCAAAUCACUCCUCCCCCAGCCUUCCAAAACUCUCUCUGAUACAGAACUUUUUUUUUUUUUCUUCUUUUUUUUUUUUUUUUUUGAUUUGGUAACUUUUCACCCAAAGUCAAUGAUGCCUGAGCUGCUAAAACGAUUUUAGCCAUUCCCGAAGCAGUUCUGAGUUAAGACUGCAACUGGAGAAGAGCGUGAGCUGGAGCUGUGUUAGACCCCUGCAUGUCACUUGUUAUAACAAAUAACGUGAGACAGAUGGGGCAGUAUUGGCCCAAGAUCCAUCCAUACUACAUCUGGACUGCUUGGGAAGUCUCUCAGAGUGGACAAGAUGUGGGAGUUGCUUCCAGUGGCUGCAGCCCUGGCUUGGAUUUCUCCUGCAUCCCUCCCCUGCUCCUUCCCUGCCCAGAAAGGGGAAGGGAGAAACUAGGAGCCAAACCCAGUAAGGUGGGGUAGAUGAGAGAUCACUUCAGGCUCACUCUGACUGUAGUUGCAUCAUUAGGAAAGGCCACGUAAUCUUUUUGUGGAAAUUAUAUCUUUACUUUGGGAGUACUUAACAUAUAACACCUUCAGGUCCUGACCAGCAAAUAAGAUCUAUGCUCCUUAAUACAAUCUUUUCAAAGGAAGUAGAUCCAAUUCUUGUUGUAAAAGCAUAAGAAAAUGGUGAAGCCUUAGCUUUUUGCAGGGAGUUCUCACUUGUGUGUCCGUAUGGGUGGGUCAGGAGUAUGUAUGUGAUCCUUUGUAGCUACCAGUGCUGUAGGAUUGCUGAGAAUUGAAGAACAGCAAGUGCCAAUUGUGACUAUGACUUGCACUGGCGGCAAUAUCGCAUCAACUGAGACUCCAUAAGAGGGUGCACUUCUGAUUGCAGUUAUCACUGCACAUACAGCUCUUGCACCAAGUUGUGACAACACAAUAAAUAGUUAAGAACUAGAGAAAAUGAGUUUUAA
This 2010-nucleotide long non-coding RNA is filed under the name Anas platyrhynchos platyrhynchos (common mallard). RNAcentral describes it as "lncRNA (ENSAPLG00000023263.1)". Lineage: Eukaryota; Metazoa; Chordata; Aves; Anseriformes; Anatidae. The record is from RNAcentral.